CCUACGGGAGGCAGCAGUGGGGAAUAUUGCACAAUGGGGGAAACCCUGAUGCAGCGACGCCGCGUGAGUGAAGAAGGAAUUCGUUAUGUAAAGCUCUAUCAGCAGGGAAGAAAAUGACGGUCCCUGAGUAAGAAGCCCCGGCUCACUACAUGCCAGCCGCCGCGGUAAUACGUAGGGGGCAAGCGUUAUCCGGAUUUACUGGGUGUAACGGGAGCGUAGACGGCAGUGCAAGUCUGGAGGGAAAGGCGGGGGCUCAACCCCCGGACUGCUGUGGAAACUGUACGGCUGGAGUGCAGGAGAGGUAAGGGGAAUUCGUAGUGUAGCGGUGAAAUGCGUAGAUAUUAGGAGGAACACCAGUGGCGAAGGCGGCUUACUGGACUGUAACUGACGUUGAGGCUCGAAAGCGUGGGGAGCAAACAGGAUUAGAUACCCCUGUAGUC
This 440-nucleotide ribosomal RNA is filed under the name uncultured bacterium. RNAcentral's name for it is "partial 16S ribosomal RNA". It matches the Rfam family "Bacterial small subunit ribosomal RNA", at positions 338 to 795 of the family's 1533-position model. The record is from RNAcentral.